UGCACGAGAUGAUCUAUCCUCGGCACAAUCCUGAUCCAAGCAACCUGCCUGCAGCUCUAUAAAUCCACGUACCGGUGCUCAUCACUCGCUGAAUAACCAGUAGUACAGGAAGCACAAUUUGUCCCUUGUAGUUGUAGCCAUCUAGCUACUUCUUCACCAAUCAGCUCAUCAGACCGUGACUAGCGCCUGAAGAUGAGCUCCUCCGCGGAAGAGUGCGCCGGCGGCAAGACGUCGUGGCCGGAGGUGGUUGGGCUGAGCAUAAAGGAGGCCAAGAAGGUCAUUCUCAAGGACAAGCCCGACGCCGACAUCGUCGUGCUGCCCGUCGGCUCGCCGGUGACCGAGGAUCUUCGCCCCAACCGUGUCCGCAUCUUCGUCAACACCGUCGCCGAGACGCCCCAUGUGGGCUAGCUAGCUGCAUAGAGCUUUCUUGAUCACAUCAUGCGUACGUGCCAUGGUGUCAUGCCAAGCCAGCUUCUGUAUUGACGUGUGUUCCCUAUUUAUAAAUUAAAUAAGCAAAAGGGCAUGGUUAUUCGUUGAGAUACUGCUA
Long non-coding RNA from Panicum hallii, 547 nucleotides. RefSeq lists it as uncharacterized. NCBI's taxonomy places the organism in Eukaryota, Viridiplantae, Streptophyta, Magnoliopsida, Poales, Poaceae. The record is from RefSeq and is a predicted model, not a curated record. The transcript has 2 exons.